CGUAGGGUGCGAGCGUUAAUCGGAAUUACUGGGCGUAAAGCGUGCGCAGGCGGCGCCGCAAGUCAGGCGUGAAAUCCCCGAGCUUAACUUGGGAAUGGCGCUUGAAACUACGGUGCUGGAGUGUGGCAGAGGGAGGUGGAAUUCCACGUGUAGCGGUGAAAUGCGUAGAGAUGUGGAGGAACACCGAUGGCGAAGGCAGCCUCCUGGGCCAACACUGACGCUCAUGCACGAAAGCGUGGGGAGCAAACAGGAUUAGAUACCCUGGUAGUCCACGCCCUAAACGAUGAUGACUAGUUGUUGGGGGAGUUAAAUCCCUUAGUAACGCAGCUAACGCGUGAAGUCAUCCGCCUGGGGAGUACGGUCGCAAGAUUUAA
RNAcentral lists this ribosomal RNA (374 nucleotides) under uncultured organism. RNAcentral describes it as "bacterial SSU rRNA". It matches the Rfam family "Bacterial small subunit ribosomal RNA", at positions 526 to 898 of the family's 1533-position model. The record is from RNAcentral.